UGCCUCUUCAAGCAGCUUGGCUUCCUUAGAGCAUAGUGACCUCAGGGAAUCCAGAUUUCUUGCUCCGAAUGCUAGAAACAAGUAGUCCAGUGAACUGGGUGAGAGCUGCAUCACUUGGUGUCACCCAGCUCCGUGAAUCACACAGAGCCACUUCUGUUGUGUUGUCCCCGUUACAGGCCAUCCGCAGGCCCUCCCAGAUUCCAGGGGAGGAGGACAUGGAGUGUCAAAGUCACAUUGUACAAGAGCAGGUGCAGUGGGAUGGCCGCCUCCAUCUUUGGAACAAGCGAUCUCUUACCACUCACCCCUCUAACAGCAAAAGAAUCCAACUGGCUUUCUCGUUGUCCUGUGGAAUGUACUCAUCACCACCUGGAGAAUCAAAUGCCAGCUCGCUGUAUACGGGAGCAGAGUGAAGCUGCAAGACGUAGAGUAUCCAAACUCACAGCAGCUUGAGAAGUCAAUCAAUGAUAGAAGAAAAAGGAUCCAGAGACUCCAUGGAAGAUUCCUGAUGGGAAAAGAUGAGCU
This 522-nucleotide long non-coding RNA is filed under the name Felis catus (domestic cat). Its description in RNAcentral is "lncRNA (ENSFCAG00000051355.1)". Lineage: Eukaryota; Metazoa; Chordata; Mammalia; Carnivora; Felidae. The record is from RNAcentral.